Molecule: ribosomal RNA, 2903 nt
Filed under: Escherichia coli O112ab:H8
Lineage: Bacteria; Pseudomonadati; Pseudomonadota; Gammaproteobacteria; Enterobacterales; Enterobacteriaceae
Description: 23S ribosomal RNA
Rfam family: Bacterial large subunit ribosomal RNA
Source: RNAcentral
GGUUAAGCGACUAAGCGUACACGGUGGAUGCCCUGGCAGUCAGAGGCGAUGAAGGACGUGCUAAUCUGCGAUAAGCGUCGGUAAGGUGAUAUGAACCGUUAUAACCGGCGAUUUCCGAAUGGGGAAACCCAGUGUGAUUCGUCACACUAUCAUUAACUGAAUCCAUAGGUUAAUGAGGCGAACCGGGGGAACUGAAACAUCUAAGUACCCCGAGGAAAAGAAAUCAACCGAGAUUCCCCCAGUAGCGGCGAGCGAACGGGGAGCAGCCCAGAGCCUGAAUCAGUGUGUGUGUUAGUGGAAGCGUCUGGAAAGGCGUGCGAUACAGGGUGACAGCCCCGUACACAAAAAUGCACAUAUUGUGAGCUCGAUGAGUAGGGCGGGACACGUGGUAUCCUGUCUGAAUAUGGGGGGACCAUCCUCCAAGGCUAAAUACUCCUGACUGACCGAUAGUGAACCAGUACCGUGAGGGAAAGGCGAAAAGAACCCCGGCGAGGGGAGUGAAAAAGAACCUGAAACCGUGUACGUACAAGCAGUGGGAGCACGCUUAGGCGUGUGACUGCGUACCUUUUGUAUAAUGGGUCAGCGACUUAUAUUCUGUAGCAAGGUUAACCGAAUAGGGGAGCCGAAGGGAAACCGAGUCUUAACUGGGCGUUAAGUUGCAGGGUAUAGACCCGAAACCCGGUGAUCUAGCCAUGGGCAGGUUGAAGGUUGGGUAACACUAACUGGAGGACCGAACCGACUAAUGUUGAAAAAUUAGCGGAUGACUUGUGGCUGGGGGUGAAAGGCCAAUCAAACCGGGAGAUAGCUGGUUCUCCCCGAAAGCUAUUUAGGUAGCGCCUCGUGAAUUCAUCUCCGGGGGUAGAGCACUGUUUCGGCAAGGGGGUCAUCCCGACUUACCAACCCGAUGCAAACUGCGAAUACCGGAGAAUGUUAUCACGGGAGACACACGGCGGGUGCUAACGUCCGUCGUGAAGAGGGAAACAACCCAGACCGCCAGCUAAGGUCCCAAAGUCAUGGUUAAGUGGGAAACGAUGUGGGAAGGCCCAGACAGCCAGGAUGUUGGCUUAGAAGCAGCCAUCAUUUAAAGAAAGCGUAAUAGCUCACUGGUCGAGUCGGCCUGCGCGGAAGAUGUAACGGGGCUAAACCAUGCACCGAAGCUGCGGCAGCGACACUAUGUGUUGUUGGGUAGGGGAGCGUUCUGUAAGCCUGUGAAGGUGUACUGUGAGGUAUGCUGGAGGUAUCAGAAGUGCGAAUGCUGACAUAAGUAACGAUAAAGCGGGUGAAAAGCCCGCUCGCCGGAAGACCAAGGGUUCCUGUCCAACGUUAAUCGGGGCAGGGUGAGUCGACCCCUAAGGCGAGGCCGAAAGGCGUAGUCGAUGGGAAACAGGUUAAUAUUCCUGUACUUGGUGUUACUGCGAAGGGGGGACGGAGAAGGCUAUGUUGGCCGGGCGACGGUUGUCCCGGUUUAAGCGUGUAGGCUGGUUUUCCAGGCAAAUCCGGAAAAUCAAGGCUGAGGCGUGAUGACGAGGCACUACGGUGCUGAAGCAACAAAUGCCCUGCUUCCAGGAAAAGCCUCUAAGCAUCAGGUAACAUCAAAUCGUACCCCAAACCGACACAGGUGGUCAGGUAGAGAAUACCAAGGCGCUUGAGAGAACUCGGGUGAAGGAACUAGGCAAAAUGGUGCCGUAACUUCGGGAGAAGGCACGCUGAUAUGUAGGUGAAGUCCCUCGCGGAUGGAGCUGAAAUCAGUCGAAGAUACCAGCUGGCUGCAACUGUUUAUUAAAAACACAGCACUGUGCAAACACGAAAGUGGACGUAUACGGUGUGACGCCUGCCCGGUGCCGGAAGGUUAAUUGAUGGGGUUAGCGCAAGCGAAGCUCUUGAUCGAAGCCCCGGUAAACGGCGGCCGUAACUAUAACGGUCCUAAGGUAGCGAAAUUCCUUGUCGGGUAAGUUCCGACCUGCACGAAUGGCGUAAUGAUGGCCAGGCUGUCUCCACCCGAGACUCAGUGAAAUUGAACUCGCUGUGAAGAUGCAGUGUACCCGCGGCAAGACGGAAAGACCCCGUGAACCUUUACUAUAGCUUGACACUGAACAUUGAGCCUUGAUGUGUAGGAUAGGUGGGAGGCUUUGAAGUGUGGACGCCAGUCUGCAUGGAGCCGACCUUGAAAUACCACCCUUUAAUGUUUGAUGUUCUAACGUGGACCCGUAAUCCGGGUUGCGGACAGUGUCUGGUGGGUAGUUUGACUGGGGCGGUCUCCUCCUAAAGAGUAACGGAGGAGCACGAAGGUUGGCUAAUCCUGGUCGGACAUCAGGAGGUUAGUGCAAUGGCAUAAGCCAGCUUGACUGCGAGCGUGACGGCGCGAGCAGGUGCGAAAGCAGGUCAUAGUGAUCCGGUGGUUCUGAAUGGAAGGGCCAUCGCUCAACGGAUAAAAGGUACUCCGGGGAUAACAGGCUGAUACCGCCCAAGAGUUCAUAUCGACGGCGGUGUUUGGCACCUCGAUGUCGGCUCAUCACAUCCUGGGGCUGAAGUAGGUCCCAAGGGUAUGGCUGUUCGCCAUUUAAAGUGGUACGCGAGCUGGGUUUAGAACGUCGUGAGACAGUUCGGUCCCUAUCUGCCGUGGGCGCUGGAGAAUUGAGGGGGGCUGCUCCUAGUACGAGAGGACCGGAGUGGACGCAUCACUGGUGUUCGGGUUGUCAUGCCAAUGGCACUGCCCGGUAGCUAAAUGCGGAAGAGAUAAGUGCUGAAAGCAUCUAAGCACGAAACUUGCCCCGAGAUGAGUUCUCCCUGACUCCUUGAGAGUCCUGAAGGAACGUUGAAGACGACGACGUUGAUAGGCCGGGUGUGUAAGCGCAGCGAUGCGUUGAGCUAACCGGUACUAAUGAACCGUGAGGCUUAACCUU